RNAcentral lists this ribosomal RNA (253 nucleotides) under uncultured bacterium. RNAcentral describes it as "partial 16S ribosomal RNA". It matches the Rfam family "Bacterial small subunit ribosomal RNA", at positions 524 to 776 of the family's 1533-position model. The record is from RNAcentral.
UACGAAGGGGGCUAGCGUUGCUCGGAAUGACUGGGCGUAAAGGGCGCGUAGGCGGCUUGCACCGUCAGAUGUGAAAUUCCUGGGCUUAACCUGGGAACUGCGUCUGAUACUGGAGGGCUUGAGUAUGGGAGAGGGAUGUAGAAUUCCAGGUGUAGCGGUGAAAUGCGUAGAUAUCUGGAGGAAUACCGGUGGCGAAGGCGGCAUCCUGGACCAUUACUGACGCUGAGGCGCGAAAGCUAGGGGAGCAAACGGG